GACGAACGCUGGCGGCGUGCUUAACACAUGCGAGUCGAGCGGAAAGGCCCUGCUUUUGUGGGGUGCUCGAGUGGCGAGCGGGUGAGUAACACGUGAGUAACCUGCCCUUGACUUUGGGAUAACUUCAGGAAACUGGGGCUAAUACCGGAUAGGAGCUCCUGCUGCAUGGUGGGGGUUGGAAAGUUUCGGCGGUUGGGGAUGGACUCGCGGCUUAUCAGCUUGUUGGUGGGGUAGUGGCUUACCAAGGCUUUGACGGGUAGCCGGCCUGAGAGGGUGACCGGCCACAUUGGGACUGAGAUACGGCCCAGACUCCUACGGGAGGCAGCAGUGGGGAAUAUUGCACAAUGGGCGGAAGCCUGAUGCAGCAACGCCGCGUGCGGGAUGACGGCCUUCGGGUUGUAAACCGCUUUCGCCUGUGACGAAGCGUGAGUGACGGUAAUGGGUAAAGAAGCACCGGCUAACUACGUG
Molecule: ribosomal RNA, 468 nt
Filed under: uncultured bacterium
Lineage: Bacteria
Description: partial 16S ribosomal RNA
Rfam family: Bacterial small subunit ribosomal RNA
Source: RNAcentral